GAAUUCACAAAGGUGGAUUCUGCAAAAUCCACGGAUUAAUCCACGGAUUUUGUUGAGUCCACAGUCCACGGAUUCGCUUUUGUGAUUCACAAAGGUGGACUCGACCGAAUCCACGGAUUCUACCAAGUCCAUUACGUCACGAUUUCGAGUCAACUGUUUGGGGUGGUCUGAAACAGUGGACUCCACAGAAUCCGUGGAUUCUAGGCGUAAUUGGCCAAUCACAGCGCAGCAUUUGGGUACAUCUAGCUAGCAGACAACAACCGCUGGACGAUAAUUUUGCAGCAAAAUUUAAGGUGGAAGACUGGACGUGAAAGUGGUGGAAAAAAUACAUGCUGGACCGAACUCCGAGAAAAUUAACAAAAAAUGGCAGAAAAUCACCGUGCUCAUUUAAUGCAUCUUGAUCGUGUCAACAGCCUCUGAGAGAUAGCCAACAGGCCCAGACCCUGACGGGAUUACAGGAAUGAAUGAAUCCUUUUGAGUUGUACAUGGAUGAAGCCUUUCGAAUGCGGUAUCGCUUCUCAAAAGAGACUGCACUCCAUCUCAUCAACACGCUUGAGGGUGAUCUGAGGAGGAAUACAGAAUGUAGUGAACCUCUACCUGUUGUCAUAGGUGUCAUCGAUGGGACUCAUGUCUACAUUAGGAGUCCUCUUGGGGAACAAGCCCUGUACUUCCUUAAUCGGAAGAACAGGUAUUCCGUCAGUGUGCAGAUUGCAUUUGUAGUAAUAAAUGUAGACUCUGUUAUGCCAGUCUGAACUUUUGGGAAAGGGUCGAUAAUGUGACUUGUACUCCUAUCAUCAUUCCAAUGUCACUAAAGUAUAAUAGCGGUCAUUGACUAUUUUUAAGCAUUGAAAUUUAGAUUGUUUUAUUUAGCACCCUCUCUUUGUAAUGUACUGUACAGUACUUAUUUGUCCUUUAAAUAUGCUCUUGAGCAUUUUCCUUACAAAUUCAUUUAUCUUGAUAUUAGAUGCUACAGACUAAGAAUUUAAGUGAGUCUUUCGAUAAUUGUGUUUGAUAUAUCAACAUAUAUACAAAAUCAUAUAAUUCCAUCAUAUUUCUUUAAGUUAGAGAAGUGUGAAAAUCAUUCAGACAAAGACCAGAUCCUUCUAACUAGGUUUACUUUAAAAAUAAAUACUCACUUUCUUACUGUCAUGCUCUUCGUGUAUUUUUCAAUUGAUAAUACCGAAGUCAUAUAUCAAUAUUCAAUAAAUACUUAAUCAUCAUACAGUG
Long non-coding RNA from Lytechinus variegatus (green sea urchin), 1227 nucleotides. RefSeq lists it as uncharacterized. The record is from RefSeq and is a predicted model, not a curated record. Lineage: Eukaryota; Metazoa; Echinodermata; Echinoidea; Temnopleuroida; Toxopneustidae. The transcript has 3 exons.